ACCAGAACUUGAUACUGCUGCUUAUGUGUGCUGUUUUCAUGACACUGAGAGUCAUACACAUGCAGAAGGACUGCAUAAAUACCUGAGUUAUAUUCUACAGAUGGUUUAAGCGUGGUUCCAUGUUUCCAGGAAGACUUUCUCCCUGUGCACGUUGAUUUUCAGUUAUCCCAGGUAUUAAACUUGGGGUUUGCUUCUCUUUGCAUUGAAGAGCAUACAGCUUAGAAUCAUCAAAUUGCAUUUCUCUGCGCUCUUUCUUAAAAUACAAUUUGUCAUUACAAAGCAAGCACACAUCAGCAAAACUGCAUAGAUAUCUUUGUCCUUUAUGUGGCUUUCAUAGCUUUCUGAGGAAGCAUGUACGAUACCCAGAGAAUCCAACUUCACUAAUGCAAGCAAAGUGUUAAACUCUUGGAAGGGCAAAACUGGAAAGGAGUAUGUAAUGGAGGCUUGUGGAGCUACUUAGGGAAAAAAAUGUACUGAUAGGCAGUGAAAUAAUUUAAUGUCUUGCAUUGUUUUUCUGAUGUUUGUGCUGUUAAUCUCCUGGUAGUUGCAUGUCCUCUGUUCACUGAGGACUAGCUGAGAGGGCUAGCAGCAGCUUUUCUUAUGAUUGUAUUUUUUGCCGUUUGAAAUGGAGUAAACCCCCAGUUUUAUUUUAAAGAAACCAUUGUGGGGCCCCAGAGCAAGGAAAUGUCAUCUCAAAAAUGGAAUGCUUAAUAAUUAAAACUGGUUUAUUAUUCACUAAAAUCACACCAUUCAAUCUUUAGUGUAUUUACAAGCACUUUAUUAUCAUAAAAAUCACAUUUUAAUAUGGAGCCUCAGAAAAGUCCUUUAAAGAAGAUCAAGUGGUCAGGACUGAUGUUAAGUAUUCUGGACAGCACCAGAAGAUCAGAGAGUACAAAUAAAUAAAUUACAGUCACUGUUUUAGAGGAAAGCUUAUAAAUGAGUUGUAUAGUUAAUGAAGUGACUGUAGGCAUUUAAAUGUUUAAACAUUUAGGCAUAGAUGGAUGCAGUGACAUAUUAGUAGCAAAUACUACUUUCUCUGUUUUAUGAAAUGAUUUAAAUUGGACCUGUGCAGUGUGAACAUGGCAAAAAUACGUGAUCCUGAAAGUUAAAUUAUGCAUUCAGUUAGAUAUCUGUACGUUCUUUGACCUUUGCAUUAUUCCCUGUUUUUAGGACAGAGGAGAAUCUGUUUGCAGCAUUGUUUUGCCAGUUUAGCAGACACUUUAGCAGAAGUGUCUGCUGACUGUAGUCUUUCAGUUUGAGCUUGAGGCCUGGUGAUGUUCAUAAACCUAACAGUUGGGCAUUGUUUUUGUUCUCAAGCAGAAGGGAAGAAACACAUGGCUUGUCCUUGAAAAAAAUUCUGGCUGUUGUUUCUUUGGGAUGGAACUGUAUUAUGCUGCUUGAUCUGCUGUUGAGUUUUAGUGAAAAUUUGUUCUCAGGAAAACUUCACAUAACUUCAUUUGAAACAAGCCUUGGAACAGCAGUUGGGCAUAGAUUUCUCUCCUUCUAGCCCCCUUAGUCUUGGGACAGUUUUUGAAGGGCUGUAUCUCUUACUGGACCAACAGAGACUUUUAUUUGAGACUGUACUUCAAACUUAAUGACUCUUAACAUUUUUCUUUGGAAAGUGCUUUUUUCAAAAGAUUAGAACUCUGCACUAUUAGUAAAUAAGUAAUUUUUAUGCAGCAUGCAUAUUUUAAUACACCGUAUUAUUGUUCACUUGCCAAACUUUGUAUUUUCAGCUAGUAUUUUGAUUUUAAAUAUGUUUUAUUUGUGCCUCAGGCAUAGAAAAUUCUAUAUUGUUUUGGGCUGGGAAUCAAAUAUUAAUACAGAUAAUUUCUCAGUUUUUGAAAUGUGACCCAGAGCUUCCUGUCUGCAAAGUAUAAAAUUAGGUGAAACUCUCUUACAGGUCCUAUUGCUGUGAAGCAGUUGUUUGUUUAUGUAAAUUGAAUGAACGUUUAACCUGUCACUGGGUCUUGUUCAUCUCGGUAGAAAAACAGAGGGACUUUACAUUCCCAAUAAAAAUUACUUGAUUGUAACUUUGUUUAUAGGCAUUAAACAGAGUUUACACACAUUUAAGUAGGUAUUUUAUGUUGUUUUGCUCUUUCCCUGUGAAUGAGAGGGUGAGACAAUGUUUGUAAUGUGAACGAAAAUAAAUAUAGUUGGAGAUCUGAAAGCUCACUCAUUAAAAAAAAAAAAAAUUAGCAUCAAUGUUGCACCGAAUCAAGGCACCCUGCAGGAUGUUUGGAUAAUUCUCCUUUUUAUAGCCGAUAUGAAAUCAUAGGUCUUUUUACAUGCACAGCUUUAGAUACAGCUGUGUUUCUGCUGCUUGCCUGGUUCCUUAAGCAGUUCCCAUUCUAGUCUUUCUUACAGCAUAAUUGUGAUAAAAGGUGUUAAAUUCAGUGUUUUCUGUGUAAAAAAUAUCUGAAUAAGUCUGUAAGAAAUUGGGAAAUGAGAAAAGUUUUGGCUUGUUGAUACUGUGGAUUAUGGUCUUUAGCAAAUCUAAAUUUACAUCUGUAUUUGUAUAAAAUCUAAUAGAAAAGAAUAUAGAAGAUAAAUGAGUGUUAAUGCGUAGGAUGCUGAAGAGAACUUGCAGUAAUACUCGUCAGUGAUGUUGGGACAUCACAGGCUUGGUGCAUCCUCUGAGUUUAAUGGAAGAAAAUCUUGAGAGAAGGAGUUACUGAUGUCUUAUAACACCAAACUUUAUUACAAAUCACAUUUUUUUGGGGUCAUGAUUCUUUUAAUCCUUACAGCAGAGAGGAUUCUAAUGUACAAAUGACAAAUUGAGUUGUUGAUGUUUUUUUUAAUCUGGUCAGGAGCUAAUUUUCCUGCUCUAUACAACCUUUUUAUGUUUGAAAUACUCAUGCUAGAAUACCAAUGAUAAAGGAAUGAUGUGGCCUUUAACGUGCAGUGUCUUUGUUCAGACUGGUUUUGUUUUCAGUGUCACUAGUGAGCAUGUAGUGGGGUUUUGAGUCUUGAUAUAUUGAUAGUGGUUUCUUUGAGCUUCUGUAAAGUUUGAUGCAGACUUCUAUAGACGCUCUGUUGCUCUUUCUUCCCUAGAUGAAAUUAUUUUGGCUUUAGGCAUUUACAAGUUGAAUUCAAGAAUUAUACUACCCAUUUGUCUCUUAGUAAGGAGAUCCUGAAGUAGGAUCAAAUACUUGGCUUGUAUAAACCAUUGUGGUAGUAUUUGUAUUUUCAUGUAAGGACCAAACAUUCAAGCUGAUACCAUUUAAUCACAAAUUGCCUUGUGUUCUAGACUGUGGUUCCGUCAGGAAUAAGAUUAUUCUGCAUCUAAAUGAUCCUCAGAAAGGGGGCAAUAGUGUACAUAGUUGUAAAUAUUCACUUUUGCUUUUUAACAAUCUUUUUAAUGCGUUCUUGCAGCUGGGAACACUUGGCAAGAAAGCUAACAACUUGAACUUCACUGGUGAAACAACAUUAAAGUUUCUAAUUCAUUAGUUCUGAUCAAACCUGCCUUGGAGUUGUUUCCUGAAGAGUCAACAAGAAAAAAAUCUUCCUGUUGGAGGAUCAAGAUAAGGAGGGUGUAUCUCAUAGUAUAGGGUUCUGAUACUGUGUCUUUCAGGAGACAUUCUUUUUUUCUUGUUUGUUUUUAACUGUGGGAUUUUUUUUUUUUUCAUACAAAAGGAUUUAAAUUUGUUUUAUAACUUUUCUGUCAUCUGUGUUACAACUGCAGAUGAGUGUACAGAGGAAGCUGUAGGUAUUGAGAAUGUUAAAUGUGUGCGUGUUACACUGUAUAACUAUUGAAAGCAUCACUGUGGCAAUAACGCUUAGCUUUCCAGUCAUUUUGAAAACUUAAUAUUGACAGUAAGUUAAGUUUAUAUAUUUACCUUUGUGGGAAUGUUGGGAUUUAUUGCAAAGUUCUUAAAAUAAAUCUAUUAAAGGGAAAAAAUAUUGUAAAACUCUUUUCUGUCUU
Molecule: long non-coding RNA, 3925 nt
Organism: Harpia harpyja (harpy eagle)
Lineage: Eukaryota; Metazoa; Chordata; Aves; Accipitriformes; Accipitridae
Exons: 3
Source: RefSeq, a predicted model, not a curated record